This 807-nucleotide ribosomal RNA is filed under the name Bacillus subtilis. Its description in RNAcentral is "bacterial SSU rRNA". It matches the Rfam family "Bacterial small subunit ribosomal RNA", at positions 73 to 863 of the family's 1533-position model. Lineage: Bacteria; Bacillati; Bacillota; Bacilli; Caryophanales; Bacillaceae. The record is from RNAcentral.
UGGGAGCUUGCUCCCUGAUGUUAGCGGCGGACGGGUGAGUAACACGUGGGUAACCUGCCUGUAAGACUGGGAUAACUCCGGGAAACCGGGGCUAAUACCGGAUGGUUGUUUGAACCGCAUGGUUCAAACAUAAAAGGUGGCUUCGGCUACCACUUACAGAUGGACCCGCGGCGCAUUAGCUAGUUGGUGAGGUAACGGCUCACCAAGGCAACGAUGCGUAACCGACCUGAGAGGGUGAUCGGCCACACUGGGACUGAGACACGGCCCACACUCCUACGGGAGGCAGCAGUAGGGAAUCUUCCGCAAUGGACGAAAGUCUGACGGAGCAACGCCGCGUGAGUGAUGAAGGUUUUCGGAUCGUAAAGCUCUGUUGUUAGGGAAGAACAAGUACCGUUCGAAUAGGGCGGUACCUUGACGGUACCUAACCAGAAAGCCACGGCUAACUACGUGCCAGCAGCCGCGGUAAUACGUAGGUGGCAAGCGUUGUCCGGAAUUAUUGGGCGUAAAGGGCUCGCAGGCGGUUUCUUAAGUCUGAUGUGAAAGCCCCCGGCUCAACCGGGGAGGGUCAUUGGAAACUGGGGAACUUGAGUGCAAAAGAGGAGAGUGGAAUUCCACGUGUAGCGGUGAAAUGCGUAUAGAUGUGGAGGAACACCAGUGGCGAAGGCGACUCUCUGGUCUGUAACUGACGCUGAGGAGCGAAAGCGUGGGGAGCGAACAGGAUUACAUACCCUGGUAGUCCACGCCGUAAACGAUGAGUGCUAAGUGUUAGGGGGUUUCCGCCCCUUAGUGCUGCAGCUAACGCAUUAA